Molecule: ribosomal RNA, 287 nt
Filed under: uncultured bacterium
Lineage: Bacteria
Description: partial 16S ribosomal RNA
Rfam family: Bacterial small subunit ribosomal RNA
Source: RNAcentral
ACGGUCCUACGGGAGGGCAGCAUGUGGGAAUGAUUGCAACCAAUGGGCGCAAGCCUGAUGCCAGCCCAUGCCGCGUGAUGUAGGCAAGAAUGGGCCUUUCGGGUUGAUGAAAGCACUUUUCAGUCGUGAGGAAGGUAGUGUAGUUAAUAGCUGCAUUAUUUGACGUUAGCGACAGAAGAAGCACCGGCUAACUCCGUGCCAGCAGCCGCGGUAAUACGGAGGGUGCGAGCGUUAAUCGGAAUUACUGGGCGUAAAGCGCAUGCAGGUGGUUUGUUAAGUCAGAUGUG